This 1443-nucleotide ribosomal RNA is filed under the name metagenome. RNAcentral describes it as "bacterial SSU rRNA". It matches the Rfam family "Bacterial small subunit ribosomal RNA". The record is from RNAcentral.
AGAGUUUGAUCCUGGCUCAGGAUGAACGCUGGCGGCGUGCUUAACACAUGCAAGUCGAACGAACCUUCGGGUUAGUGGCGGACGGGUGUGUAACGCGUGGGAAUCUGCCCUCAGGAGGGGGAUAACGGCUGGAAACGGCCGCUAAUACCCCAUAUGCCGAGAGGUGAAAUGAAUUUCGCCUGAGGAUGAGCCCGCGUCUGAUUAGCUAGUUGGUGUGGUAAUGGCUCACCAAGGCUUCGAUCAGUAGCUGGUCUGAGAGGAUGAUCAGCCACACUGGGACUGAGACACGGCCCAGACUCCUACGGGAGGCAGCAGUGGGGAAUUUUCCGCAAUGGGCGAAAGCCUGACGGAGCAACGCCGCGUGAGGGAUGAAGGCCUCUGGGCUGUAAACCUCUUUUUUCAAGGAAGAAGACCUGACGGUACUUGAAGAAUAAGCCACGGCUAAUUCCGUGCCAGCAGCCGCGGUAAUACGGGAGUGGCAAGCGUUGUCCGGAAUUAUUGGGCGUAAAGCGUCCGCAGGCGGCCCUGAAAGUCUGUCGUUAAAGCGUGGAGCUCAACUCCAUUUAAGCGAUGGAAACUACAGGGCUAGAGUGUGGUAGGGGCAGAGGGAAUUCCCGGUGUAGCGGUGAAAUGCGUAGAUAUCGGGAAGAACACCAGUGGCGAAGGCGCUCUGCUGGGCCAUAACUGACGCUCAUGGACGAAAGCCAGGGGAGCGAAAGGGAUUAGAUACCCCUGUAGUCCUGGCCGUAAACGAUGAACACUAGGUGUCGGGGGAAUCGACCCCCUCGGUGUCGUAGCCAACGCGUUAAGUGUUCCGCCUGGGGAGUACGCACGCAAGUGUGAAACUCAAAGGAAUUGACGGGGGCCCGCACAAGCGGUGGAGUAUGUGGUUUAAUUCGAUGCAACGCGAAGAACCUUACCAGGGUUUGACAUCCUGCGAAUCCCUUGGAAACGAGGGAGUGCCUUCGGGAGCGCAGAGACAGGUGGUGCAUGGCUGUCGUCAGCUCGUGUCGUGAGAUGUUGGGUUAAGUCCCGCAACGAGCGCAACCCACGUCGUUAGUUGCCAGCAUUCAGUUGGGCACUCUAGCGAGACCGCCGGUGAUAAACCGGAGGAAGGUGUGGAUGACGUCAAGUCAUCAUGCCCCUUACAUCCUGGGCUUCACACGUACUACAAUGCUACGGACAAAGGGCAGCAAGCUCGCGAGGGUUAGCAAAUCCCAUAAACCGUGGCUCAGUUCAGAUCGUAGGCUGCAACUCGCCUACGUGAAGGAGGAAUCGCUAGUAAUCGCAGGUCAGCAUACUGCGGUGAAUACGUUCCCGGGCCUUGUACACACCGCCCGUCACACCAUGGAAGUUGGCCACGCCCGAAGUCGUUACUCCAACCCUUGUGGAGGAGGACGCCGAAGGUGGGGCUGAUGACUGGGGUGAAGUCGUAACAAGGUA